Molecule: ribosomal RNA, 407 nt
Filed under: uncultured bacterium
Lineage: Bacteria
Description: bacterial SSU rRNA
Rfam family: Bacterial small subunit ribosomal RNA
Source: RNAcentral
CGAAGAACCUUACCUACCCUUGACAUGUCAGGAAUCCUGGAGAGAUUGGGGAGUGCUCGAAAGGGAACCUUGAACACAGGUGCUGCAUGGCUGUCGUCAGCUCGUGUCGUGAGAUGUUGGGUUAAGUCCCGCAACGAGCGCAACCCUUGUCAUUAGUUGCUACGAAAGGGCACUCUAAUGAGACUGCCGGUGACAAACCGGAGGAAGGUGGGGAUGACGUCAAGUCCUCAUGGCCCUUAUGGGUAGGGCUUCACACGUCAUACAAUGGUACAUACAGAGGGCCGCCAACCCGCGAGGGGGAGCUAAUCCCAGAAAGUGUAUCGUAGUCCGGAUUGCAGUCUGCAACUCGACUGCGUGAAGUUGGAAUCGCUAGUAAUCGCGGAUCAGCAUGUCGCGGUGAAUACGUU